Molecule: ribosomal RNA, 253 nt
Filed under: uncultured bacterium
Lineage: Bacteria
Description: partial 16S ribosomal RNA
Rfam family: Bacterial small subunit ribosomal RNA
Source: RNAcentral
UACGUAGGGUGCGAGCGUUGUCCGGAAUUAUUGGGCGUAAAGGGCUCGUAGGCGGUUUGUCGCGUCGGGAGUGAAAACAUCCAGCUUAACUGGGUGCUUGCUUUCGAUACGGGCAGACUAGAGGUAUGCAGGGGAGAACGGAAUUCCUGGUGUAGCGGUGAAAUGCGUUGAUAUCAGGAGGAACACCCAUGGCGAAGGCAGCUAACUGGGCAUUAUCUGACGCUGAGGUGCGAAAGCGUGGGGAGCAAACAGG